Long non-coding RNA from Monodelphis domestica (gray short-tailed opossum), 365 nucleotides. RefSeq lists it as uncharacterized. Lineage: Eukaryota; Metazoa; Chordata; Mammalia; Didelphimorphia; Didelphidae. The record is from RefSeq and is a predicted model, not a curated record.
UCCACCAAGCCAUGCUCAGCCACUGAGUGAGCUUCUUGCCAUAGGGCAGGCCACAUCCCUCUAACAAAGCCAAGCCUGAGUCAGAGAAUGGAGGCUGACUAUCGGGAUUCUUUUUCCUCCCAAUUAGGUGGUAAACUACUUGAAGGUCACCUGACUUCAAGGCACCCAUCUUAAGAUGGUUCAAGACACUUCACUCGAGGAGCAUGUGUGACAGAAAGAACCUUUGUCUGAAGUCUGGAGACUUGACACAGAUUCCUUAUGUGACCUCAAAGAACCUCUUUUGGCCUCAGUCUAUUUAUCUGUCAAAUAGGAAUAAUAAAAUAGCUAAGAUUUACAUAGUACUUAAUAAAAUAUUUUCAUUGAAA